UCUCUCAUUAAAACGAGCUGAGGGUUGAGGGGAAUGUUGUCUGGUUCGAGACCAUUCAUGUGAAAGAAGAUAAAAUCAGCAUCAGAUGGGUGAUUUCGGACCAGGCUUCAUUCCCCCCAACUCGGAAGAAUUUCGUGCUGCCAUGAUCAUCCGAUGACCUCUGGCUAACAGAAAUACACAGACGAUGGUUAAUUAAGACAUGCAUGGAACUCAAAGGCAAGUGAUGAGGCGUAAGUCUGCCGGAAGAAGAUUCGAGUUUGUGUUGCUGCAAAGCUGCCAGAAGGAGAGUGAGAAGGAAUAAGUAGGACCUUUCACUUUAUCGUUACAUAUGAGAGAGAGAGAGAGAGAGACCCCAUUAAAGGUGAGCUUUGAAUUUAGCCUCCCUUUCCCAGUUUCCCCCAUGAGACUGCAAUAAUAGCAUCUCUCCUUAGUCCAUACCAAACUUUUAAUGUGGAUCGAUGUGAUACUACCCAAUACCCAUGUGGGUUAGAUCUACAAGAGGAAACUUACACUGCAAUUUGAGUCAGAUACUAAGACUAUGUUUGGUUAGCUUUAAUGCUCAUUCUUCAUCAUUCUUACCCUUGGAUCAAAAUUCAAGAAUGAGCGAAGUUUGCCAUGGACGAACAGAAGUUUUUCUUUUKCUGAAGAGCGACUUCUUUUCAUGGCACUAAUUAAUGAGAAUGAAGUUUUUUUUUUUGCUGAAGAAUGACUUCUUGUAUCUGAUUGGUUACAAUUCUCAUUCUUAUUCUUUAUAAUUCUAUCUUGACCAAACAAAUGAGAUCAUAUUCUAUUUAAUAAAAUUAAAAUGGGUUUAU
Molecule: non-coding RNA, 815 nt
Organism: Nelumbo nucifera (sacred lotus)
Lineage: Eukaryota; Viridiplantae; Streptophyta; Magnoliopsida; Proteales; Nelumbonaceae
Source: RefSeq, a predicted model, not a curated record